This is a non-coding RNA of Parasteatoda tepidariorum (common house spider), 617 nucleotides long. NCBI's taxonomy places the organism in Eukaryota, Metazoa, Arthropoda, Arachnida, Araneae, Theridiidae. The record is from RefSeq and is a predicted model, not a curated record.
GUAGGAAAACAGCGGUGUUCUAUUAAUGAGCAAAUGGUUUUCAUUUUAAAACCAAGGCCAUAAUAUUAAUAAAAUAUAAUUUUCCUGGAAACUUCCAAUGGUUUGAGAUGAUGGUUAGAUAUUUAAAAAGAAUUAAGUUCAUCAUAAAAUCUUAGUAUUGAAAGUAGAAUUGCUGUUUAAUUUUUAAAAUUUUAUUUGACUAACAAGAAUAAAGCAACAUGUAUAAUCUUCGCUAACCAAAAAAUUAUCUUCCCUUAUUCUACACUUAUGAUUUCUUUCUAGUUUGAGAGCCUUUAAUUUUUUGUAAUUUAAAUGUUAGUUUAUUUUUCAAAAGUUUUUAAUUUUCUUUUAUCUAAAUUAUACUGCUUAGGAAUGGGGAACAGGUUGACCAAGACAGUAAAAAAUGGGAAGACGAUUAGGAACUGAGGCCAACAGCCAAGUACCUACGGCAAGACUCCUCGACGUGGUGCAGCAGUUGGAGGUGCUGCAGCUGCUAAUGCCUACCACCCAUACAGCCGUUAAAUAAUUUUCAUGAACAUUUAAUCAUCUUUCAUAAUUUUCAUGUCUUGUACAUAGGCUAUACUGUCCUCAUGAAUAAAACUUUUAUUUCUAGUGCA